RNAcentral lists this long non-coding RNA (359 nucleotides) under Rhinopithecus bieti (black snub-nosed monkey). RNAcentral describes it as "lncRNA (ENSRBIG00000045056.1)". The record is from RNAcentral. Lineage: Eukaryota; Metazoa; Chordata; Mammalia; Primates; Cercopithecidae.
UUUUUUUCUGGAACAUUUUCUAUUUAUCUUAAAACUUUUAUUAAAUUUUGCAUGCUUUCAUUUUUAAACUAAAGACAUGUAAUCAACUAUGGAAUUAUUUUCUUCUACAUUAGUUCUUUUGUUAUCUUAAUAAAAAUACACAGCAAUUAGAAAUGAAACUUGAAAAUAAAGUACUAUUUACAUAUAUUUAUAAAAAUGGAUUAUCUGAAUAUGAUUAUAAUAAUACUUUGUAUUCUGUUACAGAAUUAAUUAAAAGGAUUUAUGGUAUAUCUUAUGACUCUACAGAAGCCUUGGGAUAUAGGAGGAUUAGAAGAAAGAAUCAUAUGUGGCUCAUGUGUCUAUGUUCUGACCUGUAUUAG